GGAUUGGUGCCUUCGGGAACUCUGAGACAGGUGCUGCAUGGCUGUCGUCAGCUCGUGUUGUGAAAUGUUGGGUUAAGUCCCGCAACGAGCGCAACCCUUAUCCUUUGUUGCCAGCGGUUCGGCCGGGAACUCAAAGGAGACUGCCAGUGAUAAACUGGAGGAAGGUGGGGAUGACGUCAAGUCAUCAUGGCCCUUACGAGUAGGGCUACACACGUGCUACAAUGGCAUAUACAAAGAGAAGCGACCUCGCGAGAGCAAGCGGACCUCAUAAAGUAUGUCGUAGUCCGGAUUGGAGUCUGCAACUCGACUCCAUGAAGUCGGAAUCGCUAGUAAUCGUAGAUCAGAAUGCUACGGUGAAUACGUUCCCGGGCCUUGUACACACCGA
This 385-nucleotide ribosomal RNA is filed under the name uncultured bacterium. RNAcentral describes it as "bacterial SSU rRNA". It matches the Rfam family "Bacterial small subunit ribosomal RNA", at positions 1008 to 1393 of the family's 1533-position model. The record is from RNAcentral.